Homo sapiens (human) is the source of this 2118-nucleotide long non-coding RNA. RefSeq annotates it as FOXK2 antisense RNA 1. The record is from RefSeq and is a predicted model, not a curated record. The transcript is spliced from 3 exons. NCBI's taxonomy places the organism in Eukaryota, Metazoa, Chordata, Mammalia, Primates, Hominidae.
AGCCCUCCAACCGCCUGCCCUCCAAUCGCCAGCCCUCCCGGCUUCCAUCUCCUCCCAGCUACCUGCAGUGCCACCAGGUUUAUCACCUUAGAGCAUCCACAGCCACAGUUACCCAGAGAGAAGAGAAGGAGGAGACACAGGGCUUGGGGACGAAGGCAUUCAAACAGGCAGGUCCUCCCACGGGAAUCCCAUGACGGCCGACUCCACGACCACUUCCCCAGCAUGACUAGAUUUCCUGCAGCUUCGAAAUGCAAACAUUGCCUCAGACAAAAGCUAAAAUUGUUACAGUCAGAACCGAAACCACGAGUGAGAAGGGGCUCUGCUCCCAGUACCCACAGCCACGGGGAGCCACCGACCAGCAUGUCUUACCAUUGUUCACCUGGCCGUGGACCGCAGUGGGGACUGAUGCCACAGGCUGGGUCUAUCCUCCAGAACGAGCCUUUGCCUGGUUCUUCCUGGGAACGCGGCACUUUGAUGAAAUAACGAUUCAGAGAGAGAUUGUGGCGAAUUGAAUUCUAUGAAACAUAAAAAAAUACGUAGAAUUCAUAUAUUUAUUUGCUGAGAAAUAAAAAUGUGUCCUCGUUUUAGUGCCCUAAAAAGCAGAAACCUACAUGUUGGGCCUGGCAGACUGCAAGAGUGAAUUUUUUUUCUUUUGCGUCACACAAGUAAUGUGCUGACAACAUAACAAGAUUUAAGGAAGGCCCAUCCUAUGGGGAAGCGUGAAAACCCAGUCAUCAUGCUUAUAAACGAUGACAGAGAGUGACGUUUACAGGCUGUGCUGUGUGGAAGGAGCAGCCCUCCCGCCUGGGUGAGCAAUUCUCAAGGGAAGUAGCAGCCUGGGGUUUGAGCCCUUCAGCCCAAGGCUGCUAUGGGCUUCCAAAGAGGAAAGGACACCUCACUCUGUGGCAGAACGGGCCCCGGGAGGCAGGGUGGAGAGCUGGCAACAGGAGGGAUGAGCAAUCCACACAGCGCAGACAGAGGCCAUUUCUGACUCCAUCUCCUUUCAAGGUGGGAAACCCAGGACUGCAACUGUCAGCACUGAGCAUUCCAGGUGGAGGCAAUGACUUAGCUGCCAACCUCUCCCUGCUUGGAGACAAACAGAGCUGAUGUGAGCCAUUCUGUUAAAAUACUUUUUCGCACAGAAUUAGCUUACAGAAUCUGUCAUGCCAUUAAAAGUAAAUUAAUCCAGUAUAAAGUAUUUGGUAAACCAGCAAAAAAGAAAAAUGAGCAGGAGGCUGAAAAUCAGGAUGGACACCAUCUUCCAGGAAGAGAGGACUUGGCAAAGUACCUGUUUUUUUAUUUGAACUCUGAAAUAAUUUCGUAACGUACACAGGAAAAAUUUCCCUCCCAGCUCCUCAUCAGUGCAUCAUUCUUUCUAUUACAAAAAGCCAGACGGGCGCAGCGGCUCAGUUGAGGUCAGGAGUUUGAGGCCAGCCUGGCCAACAUGGUGAAACCCCGUCUCUACUGAACAUACAAAAAUUGGCCAGGCAUGGUGGCUCACGCCUGUAAUCCCAGCACUUUGGGAGGCCGAGGCGGGCGGAUCACGAGGUCAGGAGAUCGAGACCAUCCUGGCAAACACGGUGAAACCCUGUCUCUACUAAAAAUACGAAAAAUUAGCGGGGCGUAGUGGCGGGCACCUGUAGUCCCAGUUGCUCGGGAGGCUGAGGCGGGAGAAUGGUGUGAACCCGGGAGGCAGAGCUUGCAGUGAGCCGAGAUUGCGCCACUGCACUCCAGCCUGGGCGACAGAGUAAGACUCCAUCUCAAAAAAAAAAAAAAACCCACACAAAAAUCAUCCGGGCACAGUGGCCCACACCUGUAGUCCCAGCUACUAAGGAUGCUGAAGCUGAAGAAUUGCUUGAAGCCGAGAGGAGGAGGUUGCAGUGAGCCCAGAUCGCACCACUGCACUCCAGCCUGGGCAAUAGAAGCAAGACUCCAUCUCAGAAAAAAGCCCAGCUAAGAGUUGACAGACACCCUGAAGAAAGCCCCCGCUGGGACCUGACUCAGGCCAAAGCCGGACGAACGUCAUGGGUUCAUAGAAACAUUUCGUGAAUUUACAUUAAUGUGUAGAUUUAAAAUUAAGCUAUUAAAGUGUUAAAAUGGUGAUCACUCAAAACAAAA